UACAGAGGUCUCAAGCGUUGUUCGGAUUCAUUGGGCGUAAAGAGCUCGUAGGCGGUUUGUCGCGUCUGCUGUGAAAGACCGGGGCUCAACUCCGGUUCUGCAGUGGGUACGGGCAGACUAGAGUGAUGUAGGGGAGACUGGAAUUCCUGGUGUAGCGGUGAAAUGCGCAGAUAUCAGGAGGAACACCGAUGGCGAAGGCAGGUCUCUGGGCAUUAACUGACGCUGAGGAGCGAAAGCAUGGGGAGCGAACAGG
This 253-nucleotide ribosomal RNA is filed under the name uncultured bacterium. RNAcentral describes it as "partial 16S ribosomal RNA". It matches the Rfam family "Bacterial small subunit ribosomal RNA", at positions 524 to 776 of the family's 1533-position model. The record is from RNAcentral.